GUUUGACCUCGGAUCAGGUAGGAAUACCCGCUGAACUUAAGCAUAUCAAUAA
This 52-nucleotide ribosomal RNA is filed under the name Ilyonectria sp. RNAcentral's name for it is "partial 28S ribosomal RNA". The record is from RNAcentral. Lineage: Eukaryota; Fungi; Ascomycota; Sordariomycetes; Hypocreales; Nectriaceae.